CAGUAGCCGCGGUAAUACGUAGGUGGCAAGCGUUGUCCGGAAUUAUUGGGCGUAAAGGGCUCGCAGGCGGUUUCUUAAGUCUGAUGUGAAAGCCCCCGGCUCAACCGGGGAGGGUCAUUGGAAACUGGGAAACUUGAGUGCAGAAGAGGAGAGUGGAAUUCCACGUGUAGCGGUGAAAUGCGUAGAGAUGUGGAGGAACACCAGUGGCGAAGGCAACUCUCUGGUCUGUAACUGACGCUGAGGAGCGAAAGCGUGGGGAGCGAACAGGAUUAGAUACCCGCGUAGUCCCUGUCUCUUAUAC
Molecule: ribosomal RNA, 301 nt
Filed under: uncultured bacterium
Lineage: Bacteria
Description: partial 16S ribosomal RNA
Rfam family: Bacterial small subunit ribosomal RNA
Source: RNAcentral